AGUGAACGCUGGCGGCAGGCCUAACACAUGCAAGUCGAACGGCAGCACAGUAAGAGCUUGCUCUUACGGGUGGCGAGUGGCGGACGGGUGAGGAAUACAUCGGAAUCUACUUUUUCGUGGGGGAUAACGUAGGGAAACUUACGCUAAUACCGCAUACGACCUACGGGUGAAAGCAGGGGAUCUUCGGACCUUGCGCGUUUGAAUGAGCCGAUGUCGGAUUAGCUAGUUGGCGGGGUAAAGGCCCACCAAGGCGACGAUCCGUAGCUGGUCUGAGAGGAUGAUCGGCCACACUGGAACUGAGACACGGUCCAGACUCCUACGGGAGGCAGCAGUGGGGAAUAUUGGACAAUGGGCGCAAGCCUGAUCCAGCCAUACCGCGUGAGUGAAGAAGGCCUUCGGGUUGUAAAGCCCUUUUGUUGGGAAAGAAAAGCAGCAGGUUAAUACCCCGCUGUUCUGACGGUACCCAAAGAAUAAGCACCGGCUAACUUCGUG
This 492-nucleotide ribosomal RNA is filed under the name uncultured bacterium. Its description in RNAcentral is "partial 16S ribosomal RNA". It matches the Rfam family "Bacterial small subunit ribosomal RNA", at positions 29 to 507 of the family's 1533-position model. The record is from RNAcentral.